UUUAUCAUUUUUAAAGAAAUGGCAGAGCAGAUUCCAAAAACAAAUCCAGUGUUGCAGGGUUCACAUUUUCAUGAUGUAAAUUGAGGGAGCAAAAACAGUAUCGGCUCCAAAUAUCGGCUCAAGAAAAUCGGCAAUCCGUAUCGGCAUCAGAACUAAAA
This is a long non-coding RNA of Etheostoma spectabile (orangethroat darter), 158 nucleotides long. RefSeq lists it as uncharacterized. The record is from RefSeq and is a predicted model, not a curated record. Lineage: Eukaryota; Metazoa; Chordata; Actinopteri; Perciformes; Percidae. The transcript is spliced from 3 exons.